Molecule: non-coding RNA, 32 nt
Filed under: Rattus norvegicus (Norway rat)
Lineage: Eukaryota; Metazoa; Chordata; Mammalia; Rodentia; Muridae
Source: RNAcentral
UGAACUUAACCUCAACGUUAGGGUGCUUCUGU